Molecule: long non-coding RNA, 527 nt
Organism: Gracilinanus agilis (Agile Gracile Mouse Opossum)
Lineage: Eukaryota; Metazoa; Chordata; Mammalia; Didelphimorphia; Didelphidae
Exons: 5
Source: RefSeq, a predicted model, not a curated record
GCCCUCUCCUGAGCAACACGGCACAACAAUGGCUGCUCCCUCGUGUUCUACCAGCGCCAGGAGACCUAGGCUGUGGGUCAUGAAAUUUCAUUUGCUUUGGGAAAGUGGAGGCUGAAUUGAUGUUAGAAGAGAUGGCCUUUGAAACUGAGAAAUGGAGGAGCUGAAAACGGUGCAGUCUGUUUUUGAAUCCUGGAAAAAAGGCUUUCAUUUCUUGGAAAUGUUUUAAGAUUGUGAUCUUCCAACUUCCACCUUAAAAGAGGUGCAGUCUCUGCCCGAGCUGAUAAAGAACAGAAACAUGUGGUUUGAGGAUUCUUUUUACUCCUGUAGUUGGAAGACUUUAGAACAUCACUGAUAGUAGAAACAUAUUUUAUACUAGAGACAAGUAGAAAAUUUGUUUCUACCCCGAAGCAGGCGUUAUCUACUAUUGAAGCUGUGUGUGGCCAACAGUCAUUAGAUUUGUAUAUACUCUGCAAGAUAUAUGUGUAUAUAUACUUAAAAAAAAAAUAAAAUGACUUGAAAACAUCUUU